AGCGAACGCUGGCGGCAGGCCUAACACAUGCAAGUCGAACGAACUCUUCGGAGUUAGUGGCGGACGGGUGAGUAACACGUGGGAACGUGCCUUUUGGUUCGGAAUACCUCAGGGAAACUUGUGCUAAUACCGAAUGUGCCCUUCGGGGGCAAGAUUUAUCGCCAUUAGAGCGGCCCGCGUCUGAUUAGCUAGUUGGUGAGGUAACGGCUCACGAAGGCGACGAUCAGUAGCUGGUCUGAGAGGAUGACCAGCCACACUGGGACUGAGACACGGCCCAGACUCCUACGGGAGGCAGCAGUGGGGAAUCUUGCGCAAUGGGCGAAAGCCUGACGCAGCCAUGCCGCGUGAAUGAUGAAGGUCUUAGGAUUGUAAAAUUCUUUCACCGGGGACGAUAAUGACGGUACCCGGAGAAGAAGCCCCGGCUAACUUCGUG
RNAcentral lists this ribosomal RNA (433 nucleotides) under uncultured bacterium. RNAcentral describes it as "partial 16S ribosomal RNA". It matches the Rfam family "Bacterial small subunit ribosomal RNA", at positions 29 to 507 of the family's 1533-position model. The record is from RNAcentral.